GUAGGUGGCAAGCGUUGUCCGGAAUUAUUGGGCGUAAAGCGCGCGCAGGCGGUUCUUUAAGUCUGAUGUCGAAAGCCCACGGCUCAACCGUGGAGGGUCAUUGGAAACUGGAGAACUUGAGUACAGAAGAGGAAACGCGGAAUUCCACGUGUAGCGGUGAAAUGCGUAGAGAUGUGGAGGAACACCAGUGGCGAAGGCGGCUUUCUGGUCUGUAACUGACGCUGAGGCGCGAAAGCGUGGGGAGCAAACAGGAUUAGAUACCCUGGUAGUCCACGCCGUAAACGAUGAGUGCUAAGUGUUAGGGGGUUUCCGCCCCCCUUAGUGCUGCAGCUAACGCAUUAAGCACUCCGCCUGGGAGUACGGCCGCAAGGCUG
Molecule: ribosomal RNA, 374 nt
Filed under: uncultured organism
Description: partial 16S ribosomal RNA
Rfam family: Bacterial small subunit ribosomal RNA
Source: RNAcentral